Long non-coding RNA from Oncorhynchus tshawytscha (Chinook salmon), 1285 nucleotides. Lineage: Eukaryota; Metazoa; Chordata; Actinopteri; Salmoniformes; Salmonidae. The record is from Ensembl.
GUUGUUAGGUUCCCUUCUCAUUGGUUCAGAAGGGAAACAAACCAGCUGUGUGCGUGUCUUUAAAUGAGCGUUGUUAGGUUCCCUUCUCAUUGGUUUGAUCGAUGUCUUCAUUUUAUACUGGAAUUCCUCUACAUAAUGGAUAGCUUGUUUACAUACCUCUCUCAUUCUGUAGUAGGAGUGCUGGUCUAGGAUCAGUUUAUCCCUCUCUCUCUCUCUCUCUGUAGUAGGAGUGCUGGUCUAGGGUCAGUUUAUCCCUCUCUCACUCUCCAGGGCCUGUAGUAGGUGUGCUGAUCUAGGAUCAGUUUAUCCCUCGCUCACUCUGUAGUAGGAGUGCUGAUCUAGGAUCAGUUAAUCCCUCUCUCACUCUUCAGGGCCUGAAGCAGGAGUGCUGAUCUAGGAUCAGUUUAUCCCUCUCUCACUCUCCAGGGCCUGUAGUAGGACUGCUGAUCUAGGAUCAGUUUAUCCCUCUCUCUCACUCUCCAGGGCCUGUAGUAGGAGUGCUGAUCUAGGAUCAGUUUAUCCCUCUCUCACUCUCCAGGGCCUGUAGUAGGACUGCUGAUCUAGGAUCAGUUUAUCCCUCUCUCUCACUCUCCAGGGCCUGUAGUAGGAGUGCUGAUCUAGGAUCAGUUUAUCCCUCUCUCACUCUCCAGGGCCUGUAUAUACUAGUUCAGUGUUGUUCAUCUGGGUUGUGAUCAUUAUAAUACACUAGACCCAGCUAGCUGUGUGUUGUUAAUCUGGGUUGUGAUCAUUAUAAUAUACUAGACCCAGCUAGCUGUGUGUUGUUAAUCUGGGUUGUGAUCAUUAUAAUACACUAGACCACAGUCCUUACAUCCUGUGUUUGUUGUUAUUGAGCCUGACUGCGUUUCAGAAGGGAAACACACCCUAGUCUAUUCUGCGCUGCGUGUGUGUGUGUGUGUGUUCACACGUGCAGGCGUGUGUGUUUGCGCGUGGCUCAGAAGCAAAACAAACCUUGUGCGUCAGUAUUUCUUCUAAUGUUGCUGAACUCAAAAACUGGGUCAUUCUGACCAGACUCACAGGAAAAACCAGGACCACUGAUUUCACACACACACACACACACACACACACACACACACACACACACACACACACAGUGAUGAUUGCUCAAUUUACCACAUUGUGUAACUUGAGUCAUAUAAGAUACUCAAGACAUUUCACUUUACAUCAUUAUAUGUCCUUAUAGGCAGGGUUGUGGCUGUGUUCCUUGUUGUACUCUACUCUACUGUUGUGGCUGUGUUCCUUGUUGUACUCUACUGUUGUGGCUGUA